Molecule: long non-coding RNA, 533 nt
Filed under: Phaseolus vulgaris (common bean)
Lineage: Eukaryota; Viridiplantae; Streptophyta; Magnoliopsida; Fabales; Fabaceae
Description: long non-coding RNA (PVUL_LNC001864)
Source: RNAcentral
UACUCUUUCUUAACCUCUUCCAGGGUAGACUUCUGUUCGUGAUUUUUGAAUUGGUGCCUGAUUAAUUGGUGAUGGUUUGAAUUUGAAUAGCUACUAAGCAAGCUGACAAAAACAACUCCUAAGCCGGUAACAAUCUUGAAUUUGCCUUUUUGAAACUUUGUUUUGAACGAGCAAUUUAUAAAUGGGUCUGCGGUAUUGGAUUUUCUGCUUACUGUUGAUGAUAUUUGAUUAUUCUAGACAAAUCUUAGCAUGUUUUCUGGGACCCAAGAAAAGUGUGCUACAUGUGGAAAAACUACUUAUCCGUUGGAGAAGGUAGGAUUCAGAAAUCUCAUUAACAAAUUGUUUGAUGAUAUUUGUUUUAGGGGUCAUAAACACCUUAGUUGCAUAUUGGUUAUUAGUGACAGUGUUCAUUGUUGAGGCGCCCUAAGGACAUGGAUCUGUAUCAAUAUUCAAUUUCCUCUUUUAGUCUUUCUCUUGUCCACUAGUUGUAAUGUUGCGUGCAAUGGUUAUAAAGCAAAUAGGGGAGACCUUCU